RNAcentral lists this ribosomal RNA (156 nucleotides) under Medicago truncatula (barrel medic). RNAcentral's name for it is "5.8S ribosomal RNA". It matches the Rfam family "5.8S ribosomal RNA". Rfam says of the family: 5.8S ribosomal RNA (5.8S rRNA) is a component of the large subunit of the eukaryotic ribosome. Lineage: Eukaryota; Viridiplantae; Streptophyta; Magnoliopsida; Fabales; Fabaceae. The record is from Rfam by way of RNAcentral.
GACUCUCGGAAACAGAUAUCUAGGCUCUUGCAUCGAUGAAGAAAGUAGCGAAAUGCGAUACUUGGUGUGACUUGCAGAAUCCCAAGAACCAUCGAGUCUUUGAACGCAAGUUGCGCCCAAUGCCAUUAGGUUGGGGGCACAUCUGCCUGGGUGUCA